AGUCGAACGAUAACCCUAUUCCGUGGGCAUUAUUGUCGAGCGGGUGAGUAACAUGUGCGCAAUCUGCCCUUCACUCUGGGACAGGCCCUGGAAACGGCGUCUAAUACCGGAUAACACUCUCUCAGGCAUCUGGGAGGGUUAAAAGCUCCCGUAGUGUUGGAUGGGCCCGCGUCCUAUCAGCUUGUUGGUGAGGUAAUGGCUCACCAAGGCGACGACAGGUAGCCGGCCAGACAGGGCGACCGGGCAACUGGGACUGACACACGGCCCAUACUCCUACGGGAGGAGCAGUGGGGAAUAUUGCACAAUGGGCGAAAGCCUGAUGCAGCGACGCCGCGUGAGGGAUGACGGCCUUCGGGUUGUAAACCUCUUUCAUCAGGGAAGAAACCAACUUGACGGUACCUGCCGAAGAAGCGCCGGCUAACUACAUGCCACCCGCCGCGGAAAUACGUGCGGAGCUACGGUUGUCCGGAAUUAUUGGGCGUUAAGAGCUCGUACGCGGCUUGUCACGUGGGCAGUGAAAGUUGCGCGCUUAACCUUGUUAUCUCCGAGGUCUACAGGCUAGCUCUCAGUGUGGGUAAGGGGAGAUC
Molecule: ribosomal RNA, 587 nt
Filed under: Streptomyces sp. ANA2101
Lineage: Bacteria; Bacillati; Actinomycetota; Actinomycetes; Kitasatosporales; Streptomycetaceae
Description: bacterial SSU rRNA
Rfam family: Bacterial small subunit ribosomal RNA
Source: RNAcentral